CGGACGGGUGAGUAACGCGUGAGAAUCUACCUUCAGGACGGGGACAACAGCUGGAAACGGCUGCUAAUACCCGAUAUGCCGAAAGGUGAAACGUUGUUUCGCCUGGAGAGGAGCUCGCGUCCGAUUAGCUAGUUGGUGGGGUAAAAGCUUACCAAGGCGACGAUCGGUAGCUGGUCUGAGAGGAUGAGCAGCCACACUGGAACUGAGACACGGUCCAGACUCCUACGGGAGGCAGCAGUGGGGAAUUUUCCGCAAUGGGCGAAAGCCUGACGGAGCAACGCCGCGUGGGGGAAGAAGGUUUUUGGAUUGUAAACCCCUUUUCUCAAGGAAGAACAAAAUGACGGUACUUGAGGAAUCAGCCUCGGCUAACUCCGUGCCAGCAGCCGCGGUAAUACGGAGGAGGCAAGCGUUAUCCGGAAUUAUUGGGCGUAAAGCGUUCGUAGGCGGCUGUUCAAGUCUGCUGUCAAAGACCGAGGCUCAACCUCGGGUCGGCAGUGGAAACUGGAUAGCUAGAGGUCGGUAGGGGCAGAGGGAAUUCCCAGUGUAGCGGUGAAACGCGUAGAUAUUGGGAAGAACACCGGUGGCGAAAGCGCUCUGCUGGGCCGAACCUGACGCUGAGGGACGAAAGCUAGGGGAGCGAAUGGGAUUAGAUACCCCAGUAGUC
This 664-nucleotide ribosomal RNA is filed under the name uncultured cyanobacterium. RNAcentral describes it as "bacterial SSU rRNA". It matches the Rfam family "Bacterial small subunit ribosomal RNA", at positions 99 to 795 of the family's 1533-position model. The record is from RNAcentral. Lineage: Bacteria; Bacillati; Cyanobacteriota.